Molecule: transfer RNA, 72 nt
Filed under: Metschnikowia orientalis
Lineage: Eukaryota; Fungi; Ascomycota; Pichiomycetes; Serinales; Metschnikowiaceae
Also listed under: 7 other names
Description: tRNA-Met
Rfam family: tRNA
About the family: Transfer RNA (tRNA) molecules are approximately 80 nucleotides in length.
Source: RNAcentral
AGCAGUAUAAUGUAAUUGGUAACAUCUAAAGCUCAUGACUUUAUAAUGGUAGUUCAAAUCUAUCUACUGCAU